This 254-nucleotide ribosomal RNA is filed under the name uncultured bacterium. RNAcentral describes it as "partial 16S ribosomal RNA". It matches the Rfam family "Bacterial small subunit ribosomal RNA", at positions 524 to 776 of the family's 1533-position model. The record is from RNAcentral.
UACGUAGGGCGCAAGCGUUUGUCCGGAAUUAUUGGGCGUAAAGAGCACGUAGGCGGUUUGUCGCGUCUGCUGUGAAAACUGGGGGCUCAACCCCCAGCCUGCAGUGGGUACGGGCAGACUAGAGUGCGGUAGGGGAGAUUGGAAUUCCUGGUGUAGCGGUGGAAUGCGCAGAUAUCAGGAGGAACACCGAUGGCGAAGGCAGAUCUCUGGGCCGUAACUGACGCUGAGGAGCGAAAGCAUGGGGAGCGAACAGG